Molecule: long non-coding RNA, 764 nt
Filed under: Homo sapiens (human)
Lineage: Eukaryota; Metazoa; Chordata; Mammalia; Primates; Hominidae
Description: non-protein coding lnc-MEX3C-2:1
Source: RNAcentral
UGUCCCACUACCUGCACACUCCUCCAAAACAUGUCUCUGUCCAUCAGGAACGUGGCCAAUGACACCAGGUCUGCAGAUAGACAGGAUAAAUUUGGUCAUGAUGGUCCUACAGGAAAUGUUUAUGUUCCACUUGAUUUCCACACCCACCGUCCAAGAGGAUUUGCUUGUGUUCAAUUUGAGGAUGUUUGUGAUGCUGAAGAUGCUUUGCAUAAUUUGGACAGGAAAUAGAUUUGUGGACAUCAAGUUGAAAUACAGUUUACACAGGGGGAUCAGAAGACACCAAAUCAGAUGAAAUCCAAGGAACAGAGGAAUGUGUACAGCUCUUCACGCCAUGAUGGUUAUGACAGAUACAGAAGUUCUAGAAGCCAAAGUUAUGAAAGGAGAUCCAGAAGUCAGUCUUUUGAUUACAAUUAUAGAAGAUCUUACAGUCCUAGAAAUCAACCAACUGGAAAACCACGGAGUAGCAGAAGCCAUUCCGACAAUGGUGGAUUCAAACACCAAAAUCCAUCUUUUUCAAGAUCUACAUCUCAUUCAAGGCAGCCCAAGGAAGAAGUGAAGGCUAAAUCACAUUCUAGGUCUGCAUCUCACACCAGAACUAGAGGCACCUCUAAAACAGAUUAGCAUAUUAAAUAAGUCUGGCUCAAGAUAUGAAAAGGAAUCAAAGAAAAAAAACUACUUAUAUCCAAAUGUCAGUCAAGAUCAAAGUCUAGUUCUAGAUCAAAAUCUACAUCAAGGUAUUGGACUGCUCCUAAAUCCAAUGGCCA